UACGAAGGGGGCUAGCGUUGCUCGGAAUCACUGGGCGUAAAGGGCGCGUAGGCGGCCACCGCAAGUCGAUUGUGAAAUCUCCGGGCUUAACCCGGAAAGGUCAACCGAUACUGCGGGGCUGGAGUGCAGAAGGGGCAACUGGAAUUCUCGGUGUAGCGGUGAAAUGCGUAGAUAUCGAGAGGAACACCUGCGGCGAAGGCGGGUUGCUGGGCUGACACUGACGCUGAAGUGCGAAAGCUAGGGGAGCGAACGGG
RNAcentral lists this ribosomal RNA (254 nucleotides) under uncultured bacterium. RNAcentral's name for it is "partial 16S ribosomal RNA". It matches the Rfam family "Bacterial small subunit ribosomal RNA", at positions 524 to 776 of the family's 1533-position model. The record is from RNAcentral.